GAUGAAGAACGUAGCGAAAUGCGAUACUUGGGUGAAUUGCAGAAUCCCGUGAACCAUCGAGUCUUUGAACGCAAGUUGCGCCCGAAGCCAUUAGGCCGAGGGCACGCCUGCCUGGGCGUCACACGUCGUUGCCCCCCCAUCUACUCCUUCGGGAUUGCGGGGGGCGGAUGAUGGCCUCCCGUGCGCCUCGCCGCGCGGUUGGCAUAAAUGCCAAGUCCUCGGCGACGCACGCCACGACAAUCGGUGGUUGCGAAACCUCGGUUGCCCGUCGUGUGCGGUCGUCGCGCAUCGAGGGCUCGAAAAAAUUGCCGGGUUCCGGCUCGGCUUUCAACGCGACCCCAGGUCAGGCGGGGUUACCCGCUGAAUUUAAGCAUAUCAAUAAGCGGAGGA
Molecule: unclassified non-coding RNA, 390 nt
Filed under: soil metagenome
Description: partial contains 5.8S ribosomal RNA, internal transcribed spacer 2, and large subunit ribosomal RNA
Rfam family: 5.8S ribosomal RNA (bases 1-121)
Source: RNAcentral